GACGAACGCUGGCGGCGUGCUUAACACAUGCAAGUCGAACGGAAAGGCCCUGCUUUUGUGGGGUGCUCGAGUGGCGAACGGGGGAGUAACACGUGAGUAACCUGCCCUUGACUUUGGGAUAACUUCAGGAAACUGGGGCUAAUACCGGAUAGGAGCUCCUGCUGCAUGGUGGGGGUUGGAAAGUUUCGGCGGUUGGGGAUGGACUGGCGGCUUAUCAGCUUGUUGGUGGGGUAGUGGCUUACCAAGGCUUUGACGGGUAGCCGGCCUGAGAGGGUGACCGGCCACAUUGGGACUGAGAUACGGCCCAGACUCCUACGGGAGGCAGCAGUGGGGAAUAUUGCACAGUGGGCGGAAGCCUGAUGCAGCAACGCCGCGUGCGGAAUGACGGCCUUCGGGUUGUAAACCGCUUUCGCCUGUGACGAAGCGUGAGUGACGGUAAUGGGUAAAGAAGCACCGGCUAACUACGUG
Molecule: ribosomal RNA, 468 nt
Filed under: uncultured bacterium
Lineage: Bacteria
Description: partial 16S ribosomal RNA
Rfam family: Bacterial small subunit ribosomal RNA
Source: RNAcentral